UAUUGGUCAAUAGCCUAACCGGCUGAACCAGCAACUUGGAGGAAUGUACAGGGAAAACUGGUAAAAUGUGAUGUACCUGAUAGUAUUAGUGAUUAAUAUGAAAUUAACUAAGUUAAUUAAAAUUCAAAGUAGAUAUGUGAUUAUGACAAUAUUUGCUUAUUUCUUGACCAAGUCACGUGCCAGCAGUCGCGGUAAUACGUGGAAGAUAAGUGUUAUUCAUCUUUAGUAGGUUUAAAGGGUACCUAGACGGUUAAUUAAGCAUAUAAAUGUACUAAUUAUUAACUAGAGUUUAAUGUAAGAAGGAUUGAGUACGGUGAGUGAAGAGAUAAAAUUCUGUCAUACCACUUAGGAACUGGUAAAGGCGAAGGCAACCUUUUAUGUAAAAACUGACGUUGAGGGACGAAGGCUCGUAUUAAGUAAUAGGAUUAGAGACCCUAGUAUUGUGGGCAGACAAUGAUGAGUGUCAUAUGCAAGAAAAAUUUUUGUGUAUAAAUGAAAGUGUAAGCAUUCCACCUCAAGAGUAACGUGGCAACAUGGGAACUGAAAUCAUUAGACCGUUUCUGAAACUCGUAGUGAAGUAUGUUGUUUAAUUUGAUAAUCCUCAAAGAACCUUACCACAAUUUGUAUUACUAGUAUAUAUUAGUAACAAGCGUUGCACGGCUGUCUUCAGUCAAUGUUGUGAAACUUUGGUUAGAUCCAUUAAAUUGACGUAAACCCUUGCUUUAUUUGUUAUAAAGCAGUUCGCCGCUAUAUUGGUAAUGAUAUAAGGGACCAAGACAAGUCAUCAUGACCUGAACAUUGUGGGCUAUAGAC
This 813-nucleotide ribosomal RNA is filed under the name Phaeographis caesioradians. Its description in RNAcentral is "SSU rRNA". It matches the Rfam family "Bacterial small subunit ribosomal RNA", at positions 359 to 1221 of the family's 1533-position model. The record is from RNAcentral. Lineage: Eukaryota; Fungi; Ascomycota; Lecanoromycetes; Ostropales; Graphidaceae.